UCCUACGGGGGACAGCAGUAGGGAAUUUUCGUCAAUGGGCGCAAGCCUGAACGAGCAAUGCCGCGUGAACGAGGAAGGUCUUCGGAUCGUAAAGUUCUGUUGAAGGGGAAAAAGAGCGGAGAGAGGAAAUGGUCUCCGAUUGAUAUUACCCUUCGAGGAAGUCACGGCUAACUACGUGCCAGCAGCCGCGGUAAUACGUAGGUGGCGAGCGUUAUCCGGAAUGAUUGGGCGUAAAGGGUGCGUAGGCGGCCUGCUAAGUCUGGAGUGAAAGGUACCGGCUCAACCGGUACAGGCUCUGGAAACUG
This 305-nucleotide ribosomal RNA is filed under the name uncultured bacterium. RNAcentral's name for it is "bacterial SSU rRNA". It matches the Rfam family "Bacterial small subunit ribosomal RNA", at positions 337 to 635 of the family's 1533-position model. The record is from RNAcentral.